AAUCCAUAGGUUAAUGAGGCGAACCGGGGGAACUGAAACAUCUAAGUACCCCGAGGAAAAGAAAUCAACCGAGAUUCCCCCAGUAGCGGCGAGCGAACGGGGAGGAGCCCAGAGCCUGAAUCAGCAUGUGUGUUAGUGGAAGCGUCUGGAAAGGCGCGCGAUACAGGGUGACAGCCCCGUACACAAAAGCGCAUGUGCUGUGAGCUCGAUGAGUAGGGCGGGACACGUGGUAUC
RNAcentral lists this ribosomal RNA (234 nucleotides) under Salmonella enterica. RNAcentral's name for it is "partial 23S ribosomal RNA". It matches the Rfam family "Bacterial large subunit ribosomal RNA", at positions 161 to 433 of the family's 2925-position model. Lineage: Bacteria; Pseudomonadati; Pseudomonadota; Gammaproteobacteria; Enterobacterales; Enterobacteriaceae. The record is from RNAcentral. RNAcentral also lists the same sequence under 1 other name.